This 248-nucleotide ribosomal RNA is filed under the name uncultured bacterium. RNAcentral describes it as "partial 16S ribosomal RNA". It matches the Rfam family "Bacterial small subunit ribosomal RNA", at positions 524 to 766 of the family's 1533-position model. The record is from RNAcentral.
UACGGAGGGUGCGAGCGUUAAUCGGAAUUACUGGGCGUAAAGGGCGCGUAGGCGGCUGAUCAAGUCAGGUGUGAAAAGCCCCACGGGCUUAACCGUGUGAAGUGCAUCUGAAACUGGUCGGCUUGAGUAUCGGAGAGGAAAGUGGAAUUCCCCGGUGUAGAGGUGAAAUUCGUAGAUAUCGGGAGGAAUACCGGUGGCGAAGGCGACUUUCUGGACGAAUACUGACGCUGAGGCGCGAAAGCGUGGGG